UACAGUGAGAGAAAAAUGGAAUUCCGUUUUAUUUUGUCCUCUCUGAAACUUCCAUUUACACCAUGGCCUCAUCUAUCAAGAAGAGGAAGAAAAGGCUCUGCCUUAUACCAUAAAAAUCAAGUACUCAUGUACUUGUUAGAGGUGGCAGGAUAUUUGUUUCUCCAGUUUUUUGGCUCUAAGAAAUUACACUUUCAGUACCAGUGUAGUGAGGAACCACUGGCAAACUGUUGGAAAUGUCUUCUGGAUUAGUCAGUGUACCAUUUCAUAAAGUGCUUCUGGAGUUAAAAUCUGCCAAGCUGUCAAAAGUGUCCACACUUUUGCAACAAAGGAUAAAAGAUCCCAGUGGGUAUCACCGAGUCCUUCCCAGCUGGGUCUCAUUAUUGGCACUGCUGCUUUAACCUCCAAGCCGCUGGCCCUCACCCCAGGCGAAGCCUCCUGGCCGUUCCUCAGGUAGUGGAUUGUAAUUUGGAUCCUCAUCUGGUGUAUCAAAAAUAGCUUUCAAAAUAGAUGGUGUUUUCAGAAUUCUUAUUCCACCAGGUUGAUUGGGAAAUACAUCUUCCAAGAAAAAAUAUAUGUGUCCAACUGCAAUACCCAAAAGGUCCACAAUGAUUGAGUUCCCCAACAACAAGGAAAAUCCCAUGAGCACCCAGGGCAGAAAGGGGGCCUGGAAGUUGAGAAGGCCGAAGAAGUUCAUGCGGACAUAGGGGUUCCUUCGGCUCCACACAUAGACGAGCAUUAUUGUAAAGGCCUGGCCCAAGAAAACUAAGCUCACAAACAGACCAAAAAGGGUCAUUAAGAAUCCACCAAAAAGGAACAUAAAUACAAAGUCUGCUGUCCGACCUCGGAAAGAGCCUUCUUCUAGCAUUCGACAGUAACGAUAUAGAAAAAUCAUGUUAAAUAAAAAAUUGAAUCCAACUGGCCCAAAAAAUAAGAAGUUGGUGAUUAAUCUCCAUAUUUGAAAGUGUUUAAAGAUUAAUUCAGGAUUGAAGUACAACUGAAAAGGUGUGAUCAAUUCCAACUGCACGGCGGCGGUGGUGAGGACGCAGGCAGUGGUGUAGGCGCGGCUGACCGGUGGGAUCUGCAGGUACUCCAGCCGCAAGCUCUGGUACGCCAUCUUCCC
This 1120-nucleotide long non-coding RNA is filed under the name Homo sapiens (human). Its description in RNAcentral is "long non-coding RNA NONHSAT145226.2". The record is from RNAcentral. Lineage: Eukaryota; Metazoa; Chordata; Mammalia; Primates; Hominidae.